ACGAACGCUGGCGGCGUGCUUAACACAUGCAAGUCGAGCGGUAAGGCCCUUCGGGGUACACGAGCGGCGAACGGGUGAGUAACACGUGGGUGAUCUGCCUCGCACUCUGGGAUAAGCCUGGGAAACUGGGUCUAAUACCGGAUAUGACCUUACAUCGCAUGGUGUUUGGUGGAAAGAUUUAUCGGUGCGAGAUGGGCCCGCGGCCUAUCAGCUUGUUGGUGGGGUAAUGGCCUACCAAGGCGACGACGGGUAGCCGGCCUGAGAGGGCGACCGGCCACACUGGGACUGAGACACGGCCCAGACUCCUACGGGAGGCAGCAGUGGGGAAUAUUGCACAAUGGGCGAAAGCCUGAUGCAGCGACGCCGCGUGAGGGAUGACGGCCUUCGGGUUGUAAACCUCUUUCGACAGGGACGAAGCGCAAGUGACGGUACCUGUAGAAGAAGCACCGGCCAACUACGUGCCAGCAGCCGCGGUAAUACGUAGGGUGCGAGCGUUGUCCGGAAUUACUGGGCGUAAAGAGCUUGUAGGCGGCUUGUCGCGUCGAUCGUGAAAACUUGGGGCUCAACCCCAAGCUUGCGGUCGAUACGGGCAGGCUUGAGUACUUCAGGGGAGACUGGAAUUCCUGGUGUAGCGGUGAAAUGCGCAGAUAUCAGGAGGAACACCGGUGGCGAAGGCGGGUCUCUGGGAAGUAACUGACGCUGAGAAGCGAAAGCGUGGGUAGCGAACAGGAUUAGAUACCCUGGUAGUCCACGNCGUAAACGGUGGGUACUAGGUGUGGGUUUCCUUCCACGGGAUCCGUGCCGUAGCUAACGCAUUAAGUACCCNGCCUGGGGAGUACGGCCGCAAGGCUAAAACUCAAAGGAAUUGACGGGGGCCCGCACAAGCGGCGGAGCAUGUGGAUUAAUUCGAUGCAACGCGAAGAACCUUACCUGGGUUUGACAUACACCGGAAACCUGCAGAGAUGUAGGCCCCCUUGUGGUCGGUGUACAGGUGGUGCAUGGCUGUCGUCAGCUCGUGUCGUGAGAUGUUGGGUUAAGUCCCGCAACGAGCGCAACCCUUAUCUUAUGUUGCCAGCGCGUAAUGGCGGGGACUCGUGAGAGACUGCCGGGGUCAACUCGGAGGAAGGUGGGGACGACGUCAAGUCAUCAUGCCCCUUAUGUCCAGGGCUUCACACAUGCUACAAUGGCCGGUACAGAGGGCUGCGAUACCGUGAGGUGGAGCGAAUCCCUUAAAGCCGGUCUCAGUUCGGAUCGGGGUCUGCAACUCGACCCCGUGAAGUUGGAGUCGCUAGUAAUCGCAGAUCAGCAACGCUGCGGU
Molecule: ribosomal RNA, 1318 nt
Filed under: Nocardia asteroides
Lineage: Bacteria; Bacillati; Actinomycetota; Actinomycetes; Mycobacteriales; Nocardiaceae
Description: bacterial SSU rRNA
Rfam family: Bacterial small subunit ribosomal RNA
Source: RNAcentral